AAACCAUGCUGUGGAUACUUCUGCAAGUGGUCCUUGAAUGGUUCCCAUGUCUCAAACAAGGAUUCCAGCUCUAUCUAAACAAACGAUGAUAUUUCAUUAUGAAACU
Dioscorea cayenensis subsp. rotundata (Guinea yam) is the source of this 106-nucleotide small nucleolar RNA. The record is from RefSeq and is a predicted model, not a curated record. NCBI's taxonomy places the organism in Eukaryota, Viridiplantae, Streptophyta, Magnoliopsida, Dioscoreales, Dioscoreaceae.